Molecule: long non-coding RNA, 1412 nt
Filed under: Equus caballus (horse)
Lineage: Eukaryota; Metazoa; Chordata; Mammalia; Perissodactyla; Equidae
Description: lncRNA (ENSECAG00000045223.1)
Source: RNAcentral
UGACGAAUGAGUCUGGAACAGAUGUGUGAACUGCAUGGUCUGCCAUCUCUGGUCAUUUCCCAAGAGGGUUGGAUACUGAGGAUCUCUGGGGCUCCUUCCCCUCUGAUACCCUGUGAGCCAGACCCUGACAACCAGGACCUUGGAGAACGGAGGGAACAAUCCUGCUUCCCAGGCUCCAGGAAUUUGCUCCUUUCCUCUACCCCAUCCUGCUCCCUUGGGGCCUUGAUCACUUUUCCUACCCUGACCUGCAGAUAGCCUUGUGGCUAAUGACUUUGUGUGCUAAUCCUCCCCCAGGUGUGUCCCAGAGGGCACCUGGAGAGCGGUAGUGGGGUCUCAGUGGUAGGGGGAGCACUUUCCUACAUCACAAUGCCCAGGUGCUUUUGAGCACUUAAUCUGCCAGCUUGUCAGGCAGGUCUGUGGUCUCAGGUGCUGACUGACUGGCCAAAGAGUUAUGGGGAGGGGCAGCUAAACCCCUGUGGCCACAGUCAACCCCUUCAGAGCACAGGGGCUCUUCUUGGGACCUCUGAAGCCUGGACAAGAGGAGAGAAGCAGAGAAACCUGGGGGCACCAUUAUGAUGCGCCACGCAGUGGAGUUGCGUGGGUGGGAGAAGCACACGGCUCUGGGUCUUCAGAACUGGCCCCCAAGAUGAUGAAACAGGCGUGGAGAGGAUGAGUAACUUUCCCAAGGGCUGAACUAGCAUCUUAAUGCCUCACAUUUAAAAGCAUGGAACGUGAGCUUUGGAUCUGGCUCCCAGUUCAAGUGUUCUGACCAUCACUCUAGCUAUUAAUAUCCUGCAAUCCAUAGAAUUCAUGUUGGGGAACAUUGUCCUAGCAGAAGAGAUCCCUAGUUCCAUUGACCUAAUGGAAGAGAACCCGAGUUCCACAAACCCCUUAAUGGGCAUCCACUUCUGAGCAAUCAAUAAAGAAGCAUUAAAGUUUACCAUGUGUAAGGUCCUGUGGGGGAAUGUGGAGAAUGUGGGAGGCUACAAAGCUGUGCUGAGGCCCUGAGCCUGUUCUCAAGGAAUCCGUGGCAGGACGGAGAGAGGUGAAGCACAGCCACACCAUUGAGGCUCAAGGAGGCCAAGUGUGAUUUGGUGCUAAAGAUGGUGUAAGGAGAUGCACCCAGGAAGGAGGCCAGGGGAGAGAAAGGAGUUGGGUGAUCAAUUGGUGCUAGCCCAGGCAGCAGGGAUGUUCCUUCAAAGAAGAAGGAAAAGGCAGCCCAACUUGGAACCAAAGACAGCAAUCCCAGUAAGGCUGAGAACCCGGCCAGGUACACCAUCAGGUGUGGAGGAGGAAACUUGGCAGGGUCCUGGCUGAGCGAAUGGCAGAGUGGUGGAAGAGCAGCCACCGCCGAAGCCCUGCACAGAAGGAGCAUCCGUGAAUAAGACGUCUUGGCUGUUCCCAGGGACGGG